Molecule: ribosomal RNA, 253 nt
Filed under: uncultured bacterium
Lineage: Bacteria
Description: partial 16S ribosomal RNA
Rfam family: Bacterial small subunit ribosomal RNA
Source: RNAcentral
UACAGAGGGGGCAAGCGUUGUUCGGAAUUACUGGGCGUAAAGGGCGCGUAGGCGGCCUUCUAAGUCGAACGUGAAAUCCCCGGGCUCAACCCGGGAACUGCGUCCGAGACUGAAAGGCUUGAAUCCGGGAGAGGGAUGUGGAAUUCCAGGUGUAGCGGUGAAAUGCGUAGAUAUCUGGAGGAACACCGGUGGCGAAGGCGGCAUCCUGGACCGGCAUUGACGCUGAGGCGCGAAAGCUAGGGGAGCAAACGGG